This 77-nucleotide transfer RNA is filed under the name Candidatus Woesearchaeota archaeon. Its description in RNAcentral is "tRNA-Asn". It matches the Rfam family "tRNA". From Rfam's summary of the family: Transfer RNA (tRNA) molecules are approximately 80 nucleotides in length. Their secondary structure includes four short double-helical elements and three loops (D, anti-codon, and T loops). Further hydrogen bonds mediate the characteristic L-shaped molecular structure. tRNAs have two regions of fundamental functional importance: the anti-codon, which is responsible for specific mRNA codon recognition, and the 3' end, to which the tRNAs corresponding amino acid is attached (by aminoacyl-tRNA synthetases). tRNAs cope with the degeneracy of the genetic code in two manners: having more than one tRNA (with a specific anti-codon) for a particular amino acid; and 'wobble' base-pairing, i.e. permitting non-standard base-pairing at the 3rd anti-codon position. Lineage: Archaea; Nanobdellati; Candidatus Woesearchaeota. The record is from RNAcentral.
GCCCCAGUGGCUUAGUGGUUUAGAGCAUGUGGCUGUUAACCACAGGGUCGCAGGUUCAACUCCUGCCUGGGGCGCCA